GAUUCUGGCUCAGGACGAACGCUGGCGGCACGCUUAACACAUGCAAGUCGAACGGAGAAUAUUGGUUACUGAGUAUUCUAGUGGCGGACGGGUGAGUAACACGUGAGCAACCUGCCUUUGAGAGAGGGAUAGCUUCUGGAAACGGAUGGUAAUACCUCAUAACAUAACGAAGCCGCAUGACUUUGUUAUCAAAGAUUUAUCACUCAAAGAUGGGCUCGCGUCUGAUUAGAUAGUUGGUGAGGUAACGGCUCACCAAGUCGACGAUCAGUAGCCGGACUGAGAGGUUGAACGGCCACAUUGGGACUGAGACACGGCCCAGACUCCUACGGGAGGCAGCAGUGGGGAAUAUUGCACAAUGGGGGAAACCCUGAAUGCAGCGAUGCCGCGUGGAGGAAGAAGGUUUUCGGAUUGUAAACUCCUGUCUUAAAGGACGAUAAUGACGGUACUUUAGGAGGAAGCUCCGGCUAACUACGUGCCAGCCGCUGC
This 486-nucleotide ribosomal RNA is filed under the name uncultured bacterium. RNAcentral's name for it is "bacterial SSU rRNA". It matches the Rfam family "Bacterial small subunit ribosomal RNA", at positions 15 to 518 of the family's 1533-position model. The record is from RNAcentral.